CUGUAUUAGAGGUAAAAAAAAAUUAUAUAAAUACUGUUCGGCUUCUCGCACAAACCGAUCGUUUCGUUUCUUAGGAUAUCAAUGUGUCGUCACGAGCGGCAGGGUUUAAUUUGGAUUUGUCUGUGCAUGUUUUUACUGUCUGAGAUUUUGUUACUAUUCACAUGCAUACAGACUGAAACGGUUGGAGUUUCUACAUUUGUGUUGUACUGAAGAAACAAAAUCACAUACAUCUUGGAUGGCCUCGGGUAUGAAGCCGAUUUCAACGGUAACUGCAGAAAGCGUCAGCACGCUCAGCUCAUCACUGGAGUAACGUCUGUACAACGGGUGAGAUAAAACUCAACGCCUGACUGAAUCAUCCAUUCCCUUUUCGAUCCUACACCAUACGUUAAACUUGAGGUAAUCUUGCUUUUGCUGUUCUAAAAUAAACACUGCUCUUAGGUAAGAAUGGCUGAUCAAAUGCAUUAUUUUAAAUCUAAUCUGAGACACAAAGCAGUUAAAUCGUUGUCUAAUUUGCUGCAAGGUAUUAAGAACGACAGUAAGCUUGUUGACGAUGAUCUGACUGAUGACUGAUAUGUGUGAUGAGAUUAAAACUAUGGCUGUGCAAAAAAAUCGAUACAGCUAACUACCAUGAUAGUUAGCUGUAUCGAUAGUGUAUCGAUAUUUCGAUCUCUACUGUCGAUAUUUUAAAAAACAUCAAAUCCCUCUGUGUGCGUCAAACGACCUCCUCGCCGCUGCUAUAGUUGUCACUGUCCAGUUGUCUGCCAUAUACGGCCAUUCGGCCAAUGUCUCAGAAGUUAGAGGGAGUGAGAAAAUGGCAGAAAAUUUAAAAACACCUGCAUCUUUCAAAGAGCUGCAGGUGUUCAGCUCUAUUUUUUACAUUUUUGAUUGUAUUGUGAUACGUAUCUUAUCAUGACCCAUGUAUCGUGACACGUAUCGUAUCGGGAGGCCCUUGCCAAUACCCAGCCCUAAUUAAAACAACUUUUCUUUUAGCACACCACCCAUACAUGGCACACAAAACAGGUCUUGUGAGGGGGCUGUGCCCACAGGUAGAAAUUCUGUAGGUCCACGGGCUUCUCCCCUUUCAGCGAACAUCACAGCGCUUAGUCCACCAUCGUGGUCUCCAAUCUCCAUUACCAACAGCCUGAGUGCUACACCUACAGACACCCCAACCCAUGCAGCAGCUGGCAGAAGUCAGACAUCAGGCCAAACUGGAUUUCAACACACCCCACCCUUACAUGGCACACAAGUAUAUGACACACAACACAGCUCAGGAGGCUGUGCCUACAG
Paramisgurnus dabryanus is the source of this 1287-nucleotide long non-coding RNA. RefSeq lists it as uncharacterized. The record is from RefSeq and is a predicted model, not a curated record. NCBI's taxonomy places the organism in Eukaryota, Metazoa, Chordata, Actinopteri, Cypriniformes, Cobitidae.